CAAACCAAAGCUGGCGACCGGCGCACGGGUGAGUAACACGUAUCCAACCUGCCUCAUACUCGGGGAUAGCCUUUCGAAAGAAAGAUUAAUAUCCGAUAGCAUAUAUUUCCCGCAUGGGUUUUAUAUUAAAGAAAUUCGGUAUGAGAUGGGGAUGCGUUCCAUUAGUUUGUUGGGGGGUAACGGCCCACCUAGCAACGAUGGAUAGGGGUUCUGAGAGGAAGGUCCCCCACAUUGGAACUGAGACACGGUCCAA
This 253-nucleotide ribosomal RNA is filed under the name uncultured bacterium. RNAcentral's name for it is "partial 16S ribosomal RNA". It matches the Rfam family "Bacterial small subunit ribosomal RNA", at positions 74 to 334 of the family's 1533-position model. The record is from RNAcentral.